RNAcentral lists this ribosomal RNA (417 nucleotides) under Hyalomma marginatum. Its description in RNAcentral is "partial 16S ribosomal RNA". The stretch from base 272 to 417 matches the Rfam family "Bacterial large subunit ribosomal RNA", at positions 2473 to 2619 of the family's 2925-position model. The record is from RNAcentral. Lineage: Eukaryota; Metazoa; Arthropoda; Arachnida; Ixodida; Ixodidae.
CUAUACAAAGGUAUUGUAAUAAGAUUUUAAUUGAAUGCUAAAAGAAUGGAAAUUUAAAAAAAAACUUUUUUAAAAAUAAAAAUUGAAUUUUUUUUAAUUUGUGCAAAAACAAUUAUACUUAUUAAAGACAAGAAGACCCUAAGAAUUUAAGAUUUUACAAUUAAAAAGUUUUUUUUUUAAAAUCUUGAUUGGGGCGAUCAAAAAAUAUUAAUAACUUUUUAAAAUUUAAAUUGAUCUAUUAUUAAUAAACUAAUGAAUUAAAUACUCUAGGGAUAACAGCGUAAUAAUUUUUGAUAGAUCUUAUUGACAAAAUAGUUUGCGACCUCGAUGUUGGAUUAGGAUUCUUUUUUAAUGAAGAAGUUAAAAAAAGAAGUUUGUUCAACUUUUAAAUUCCUACUUGAUCUGAGUUCAGACCGG